Molecule: ribosomal RNA, 1073 nt
Filed under: Veillonellaceae bacterium oral taxon 145
Lineage: Bacteria; Bacillati; Bacillota; Negativicutes; Veillonellales; Veillonellaceae
Description: bacterial SSU rRNA
Rfam family: Bacterial small subunit ribosomal RNA
Source: RNAcentral
GACAAACGCUGGCGGCGUGCUUAACACAUGCAAGUCGAACGGAGCGAUUUAUUUCGGUAAAUCGCUUAGUGGCAAACGGGUGAGUAACGCGUAGGCAACCUGCCCUCAGGAUGGGGACAACGGCUCGAAAGAGCCGCUAAUACCGAAUGACGUACCUUUUUCACAUGGAAGAGAUACUAAAGAUGGGUCAAACCAUCGCCUGAGGAUGGGCCUGCGUCUGAUUAGCCAGUUGGUGAGGUAACGGCUCACCAAAGCAACGAUCAGUAGCCGGUCUGAGAGGAUGAACGGCCACAAUGGGACUGAGACACGGCCCAUACUCCUACGGGAGGCAGCAGUGGGGAAUCUUCCGCAAUGGGCGCAAGCCUGACGGAGCAACGCCGCGUGAGUGAAGAAGGUCUUCGGAUCGUAAAGCUCUGUUGUCGGGGACGAAAGGAAAGGGGAGGCAAUGCCCCUUUUAAGACGGUACCCGACGAGGAAGCCACGGCUAACUACGUGCCAGCAGCCGCGGUAAUACGUAGGCGGCAAGCGUUGUCCGGAAUUAUUGGGCGUAAAGGGAGCGCAGGUGGGACGGUAAGUCUGUCUUAAAAGGCAAGGGCUCAGCCCCUGUAAGGGACAGAAACUAUCGUUCUUGAGUGCCGGAGAGGAAAGCGGAAUUCCCAGUGUAGCGGUGAAAUGCGUAGAUAUUGGGAAGAACACCAGUGGCGAAGGCGGCUUUCUGGACGGCAACUGACACUGAGGCUCGAAAGCCAGGGUAGCGAACGGGAUUAGAUACCCCGGUAGUCCUGGCCGUAAACGAUGGAUACUAGGUGUAGGGGGUAUCGACCCCUCCUGUGCCGGAGUUAACGCAAUAAGUAUCCCGCCUGGGGAGUACAGUCGCAAGACUGAAACUCAAAGGAAUUGACGGGGGCCCGCACAAGCGGUGGAGUAUGUGGUUUAAUUCGACGCAACGCGAAGAACCUUACCAUGGCUGACAUUGAGUGAAAGGGCAGAGAUGUCCCUUAUCUCGGAUACCGAGACAGUGUGCUGCGUGUACCUUCUGAAUGUGGUAGUCGCACACCACCAUUCGUGCACAG